GGCAGAGCGGCUGAAUGCACCGGUCUUGAAAACCGGCGAUGGGCGACCAUCCGUGGGUUCAAAUCCCACC
RNAcentral lists this transfer RNA (70 nucleotides) under Aeromonas hydrophila. RNAcentral describes it as "tRNA-Ser". It matches the Rfam family "tRNA", at positions 9 to 64 of the family's 71-position model. From Rfam's summary of the family: Transfer RNA (tRNA) molecules are approximately 80 nucleotides in length. Their secondary structure includes four short double-helical elements and three loops (D, anti-codon, and T loops). Further hydrogen bonds mediate the characteristic L-shaped molecular structure. tRNAs have two regions of fundamental functional importance: the anti-codon, which is responsible for specific mRNA codon recognition, and the 3' end, to which the tRNAs corresponding amino acid is attached (by aminoacyl-tRNA synthetases). tRNAs cope with the degeneracy of the genetic code in two manners: having more than one tRNA (with a specific anti-codon) for a particular amino acid; and 'wobble' base-pairing, i.e. permitting non-standard base-pairing at the 3rd anti-codon position. The record is from RNAcentral. RNAcentral also lists the same sequence under 1 other name. Lineage: Bacteria; Pseudomonadati; Pseudomonadota; Gammaproteobacteria; Aeromonadales; Aeromonadaceae.